CAACACCUUCUUCAGCGAAACCGGUGCAGGGAAGCAUGUCCCUCAUGCUGUCUUUGUCGACCUUGAGCCCACCAUGAUCGACGAGCUGUUUACAUGGGGUUGGAAUCAAAGAGGUACAUUAGGACAUCCACCAGAGACGAAAACAGAAAGCCAAUGUCAAGAUUACACUG
Brassica oleracea var. oleracea is the source of this 170-nucleotide long non-coding RNA. RefSeq lists it as uncharacterized. The record is from RefSeq and is a predicted model, not a curated record. The transcript has 2 exons. NCBI's taxonomy places the organism in Eukaryota, Viridiplantae, Streptophyta, Magnoliopsida, Brassicales, Brassicaceae.